GUGGGCCUGUGGGAAGAGCAUUCCAGAUGGGAAACAAGUGAUGUCAAGGGGCAGGAGAUUGAGGUCUUUUUAAUACAUGGAUUCACAGAGCCUAAGACAACAGCUGAUGGAACAAGAACCCAGAGGACGCAGGAAACAGGGGGUUGGAUGUCAUGGAAGGCAGGGUGGAAGAGGCUAAAAACAGUAUUCAUCAAAUGUACAAGAAGUUGCUGACCCCUGGAUCUACUUACCCUCCCCACACAGCCAGGGCAAGAAGAGUCUGUGGCUACAAGGCAUCAUGGAAGAAGGCUCUGGAGAGGCUCAUUUCCUACCAUGCACCUCACCCAAGACCAGCACUACAUCUGAAACCCACACCCAUGACCGCACACCCGUGUCCUCGAAGGUGCUACUGUUGAAGCUUCUACAGCCUGGAGCUGAUGGCAGCCAUAAUGCGAUGCCAGAUCCCUGGGACACUGGCUAACUGCAGAUGCAGUGAGAUGGGCUGCUGGGGAGAGCUGCUGCCAUGUGAGCCUUCUUUUCCUUGACUGUCUUUUCAGCUUGUGAGUUGCAAUGCGAGUGUCUUUUUGGUGGUUGGGUUUAUUUAUUUCAGGGGGUGGGGAGUGGGAUGGGAAAGGGUACUCAUUUCUGUAUCACUGCCUCUGGCGUAAGAGGCAAAGUUGAGGUUAACUGCCAACAGCUUCCCCUUUCUCUUCUUUUUGUUCACUCAAUCUGUCUGGACCAAUGCACAAGGAAAAAAGACAGACAGAAUGGCCCUCCAAAGUUGCACUCUGUUUUAAAGCUGAUAAAGGAUGUGUUUCCCACAGCUUAGGAGAAAAAUAUAUUAUCAAGUGCCUAAGCAAUUAAACAAAUGGUAUU
Molecule: long non-coding RNA, 855 nt
Organism: Mustela erminea (ermine)
Lineage: Eukaryota; Metazoa; Chordata; Mammalia; Carnivora; Mustelidae
Exons: 4
Source: RefSeq, a predicted model, not a curated record